RNAcentral lists this transfer RNA (68 nucleotides) under Leptolycus sp. UPOL VP0024. RNAcentral's name for it is "tRNA-Gln". Lineage: Eukaryota; Metazoa; Arthropoda; Insecta; Coleoptera; Lycidae. The record is from RNAcentral.
UUAUAAAAGUAUUUAGUUUAAUUUUACAAUGAAAAUUAAUGUUUUGUUUAAACUAUAUAAAAAGAAAU